GGAUGAGAUAGACGAAAGUCUGAUGGAGCAACGCCGCGUGCAGGAUGAAGGCCUUCGGGUUGUAAACUGCUUUUAUCUGUGAAGAUUAUGACGGUAGCAGAUGAAUAAGGAUCGGCUAACUCCGUGCCAGCAGCCGCGGUCAUACGGAGGAUCCAAGCGUUAUCCGGAAUUACUGGGCGUAAAGAGUUGCGUAGGCGGCAUAGUAAGCAGAGUGUGAAAUCGUGUGGCUCAACCAUACACACAUGCUCUG
RNAcentral lists this ribosomal RNA (250 nucleotides) under uncultured bacterium. RNAcentral's name for it is "partial 16S ribosomal RNA". It matches the Rfam family "Bacterial small subunit ribosomal RNA", at positions 359 to 630 of the family's 1533-position model. The record is from RNAcentral.